This is an RNA transcript of Folsomia candida, 3059 nucleotides long. RefSeq lists it as uncharacterized. The transcript is spliced from 8 exons. The record is from RefSeq and is a predicted model, not a curated record. Lineage: Eukaryota; Metazoa; Arthropoda; Collembola; Entomobryomorpha; Isotomidae.
AAUUAUCCAGAUAAAAUUUUGAUACAUAUUUUUCUUCAUAAAUAAAUACUUAUUCAUUUGCACAUGUGUUAUGUGUCUUUAGGAAGUUCGGGAUUAUGGUAUGCUUUAUUGGAACCAUGGCAAGAUGAUCCUGUCGUGGGAGAUGAUUAUGAAGAACAAAUCGACAACUUCGUGCUCCGUUCUUAUUUAAAUAUUUACAAUGUAUGCGACGAUCCUGAAAAGGAAAUUCAGCCGGAAUUAAUUUUAAAAUUUCUACUGGAAUCUAUUAAGUAUUACGGGCAGAAUGAGAACAUUCUCAAAGAUGAACUUGGAAUGAAUAGGAAGUGGCGAAGUGUUCUUGAAUCUUUAUCGGAAAAGUUGGACUAGCAGGAACACAGUGGACGAAUUUGAAACCAACGUAAUAAUGCUGAGCUGGCUUUAACCUUCUGAAGCAUGUAUGCCUUAAUAUGCAUGCAAAUUUUUGUAGGUACAUAUGUAUCUUGUGCUCGAUUAACGUACGGCAUGCCAUAAAAUUAUCACCGGACUUAUUUUUAAUUGUUAUAUGAUUAUGUUUACGAUUAAUGUAAGUAAUUUGUGUAAAAAAUUUGUCUGUUCGCAUAAUUCAAUAAAUAUGCACAUGCGUAAGAAAAAUUUACAUACACAUGUAAAUAUGCUUGUAACCCGUUUGACUUGUAUGUACAUACAUCUUUUUCCUUUGAUCCUGGAGUAAGUAUGUAUGGGUAAUGGCGAGUUCAACCCGAGAUCAUUUCAAGCAUUCCAAAUGGCAAGGCAUACGCAUACUGACGCAUAGAACUAUAAAGCAAUAUUGUGGGCCACGCGUUUUUUAUACUUUACUAAAUAUAGACCUUUCCGUAUCACCAGUAGUUUUUGUCACGAAUGUUGUACAAAAAUAAAAUAAAAGUAACAGUCGGGUCAUCAGAACAGGAUAACAUUUAGGCAUCAUCCACGACAAGCAUAUUAACUUGCUUAUCAAGUUCUUUUAUCGUCCAAAAAAUUAGUGUUGAAAAUUGUGGUGGACAGAAAAUGACAGCCUAUGUCAACUGGAUCACAUUUUCUAUUCAAUUGAUUUAUAUUUCUUUCCUUCUGAUUUGCUCGACGCACAAUAUUUUUAGUUUGUCGUCUUUUAUGCCAGUUUCAGACAACGAUCCUCUCAUAUGUACAGUUAUAAUCCCAUUCAAACCUUACGUAUUUAAUAAGUACGGAUACCAAUGCCAAUUAACUCUGGAUAUGGUCUGGGGUUAUGCAAAAUUUUUAGUCCUUUGUAUGGUGAACAAUGCAUUGAUUCUGGUAUUCUAUAAGUUAUUUUACUGGCUUGGGGAUACUUAUUACGGACAAGGUAAAAUCUUUCAUAAUGUGUCAUUUGAGUGGAUAAUUAAUUAGUUACAUGCAUACACGUUAAUGUCAUUUCAAUUAUGUAUCUGUUGUUUCAGAGCAUCUUUUUGAUAGUAGUAUCUUCUUAUUGCCCAAUUCGAAUGCUGAUUUACCAGAAGUAGAUGAAGAGUAUGAACAACACAUCAAUAAUUUUGUGCUGUUUUCUUAUUUUGAAAUUUAUAAAAACUCUGAUGACCCAAACGAAAUAAUUCAAUCGGAACAAGUCUUGCAGUUUUUGAUUAGGGCUACUCAUCAUUAUAUUCAGAAUGAAGAUCUUGUUGAAAAUGAUUUUACAAAGAAGCGAAAGUGGGAUCACAUUCUGCAGUCAUUAUCAGUAAGACUACAAGAGAAAAGCCGGAAGUAGCCGCUACGGCUGUAUUCGAGUAAAAUUCUACAAACCUGGCAUUUCUCGUAUCAAUAUUUGCCUACGGAUUUUAUCUUUAGGGCAUCGGUGUAUAGGGGGUUUCUGGCAAAGGUUGAACCAAAGAUUUGAGCGUGCACUCAAGAGUUGAAAGAAAACUUCAUAAUUUUAAUUUAUUACAUUCUUAGGGAUUUCACAUUUAAAUAGAUACUUGCAUAUUUAUGUUAAUAAUUAAAUAGUUAAGAAAAACGUUUUAGUGGAAAAUAAAUUUGUACUAAUCUUUUGAAAAAAGUGCCCUCAUAAUAACCACAAUUCAAUUUGUACAUAAUGCAUUCCGAACUUGAUAUUGAUCGACCUCUUACCUACUUACAUACAUAAGCGCAUACGUGUAUAACAUGCAAAAGAAAAACUGUUCUAAAUUUAGAGCUGCGUGCAAAAUAUAUGAUGGAAAUGGGAAAUGAGCAAGGUUAUCCGAACUUAAAAUUGCAUCUGUUCUUGUAAUAAAAAAGUUGCUAAAUUUGGUGCUGGCCAUUGCAAGUAAAUUUGAAAAUAAAAUUUGACAUAAAUUUUGUUAAGAAAUAAAAUAUUUCAUCAAAGUGUCUAUUUUAAAGGAGAAUGACAAGGUUAACCAACUUCGUGAUAAGAGUCGUGCACUGUAGCUUUGGUUUUAUUCUCAUGGGAUUCAAUAUGUGGUUACUUUUGCUUCCUAAUUCUAAUUAUUUAAAAUGUGACGUAACGGUGCCGUUUACUUCUUACGUUGUGACUCAGUACAAUUGUGUCAUAACUCCAAUUAAGGUUUGGGAGUAUGUAAAACAUCAACUCAUUUUUGGAGCAAUUUCAUCAUUCUUCUUCAUCUUCUGGGGGGAAGUGUAUUUUUACUGGUGGGGACUUUAUUUCGGCGGUGUAGCUCCUACAAUCUUCGAUGCUGAGCAUGACGACUCGCCACCGCCACACGUUGAAGACGACUAUGAACAAAAUAUUGACAACUUUGUUCUCCGUUCUUAUUUAGAAAUUUACAAGUUCUCUGAUGAUCCAGAGGAACAGUUACAACCGGAACACGUUAUGCACUUUUUGCUCAAAUCAAUGCAUCAUUACGGACAAAAUGAAAACAUUUUAAAAGAUGAGUUGGGCAUGAAGAGAAAGUGGCAUCAUAUUCUGGAAUCAUUGACAACCAGAUUGGAAGAGAAAAGUCGAACGUAAUUAUGUUGUGAGCAAUAAAUAUGAACUGACGAAGGAUUAACAUAUUCGGCUGACAGCGAAAUUAUUACGAAAAAGUUACGUAGUUUGUGAUUUAAGGAACUUACAGAUUUCUAGAUUUAGAAUAUUA